RNAcentral lists this ribosomal RNA (1840 nucleotides) under Staphylococcus aureus VET0363R. RNAcentral describes it as "bacterial LSU rRNA". It matches the Rfam family "Bacterial large subunit ribosomal RNA", at positions 1081 to 2925 of the family's 2925-position model. The record is from RNAcentral. Lineage: Bacteria; Bacillati; Bacillota; Bacilli; Caryophanales; Staphylococcaceae.
UUGCCCAGACAACUAGGAUGUUGGCUUAGAAGCAGCCAUCAUUUAAAGAGUGCGUAAUAGCUCACUAGUCGAGUGACACUGCGCCGAAAAUGUACCGGGGCUAAACAUAUUACCGAAGCUGUGGAUUGUCCUUUGGACAAUGGUAGGAGAGCGUUCUAAGGGCGUUGAAGCAUGAUCGUAAGGACAUGUGGAGCGCUUAGAAGUGAGAAUGCCGGUGUGAGUAGCGAAAGACGGGUGAGAAUCCCGUCCACCGAUUGACUAAGGUUUCCAGAGGAAGGCUCGUCCGCUCUGGGUUAGUCGGGUCCUAAGCUGAGGCCGACAGGCGUAGGCGAUGGAUAACAGGUUGAUAUUCCUGUACCACCUAUAAUCGUUUUAAUCGAUGGGGGGACGCAGUAGGAUAGGCGAAGCGUGCGAUUGGAUUGCACGUCUAAGCAGUAAGGCUGAGUAUUAGGCAAAUCCGGUACUCGUUAAGGCUGAGCUGUGAUGGGGAGAAGACAUUGUGUCUUCGAGUCGUUGAUUUCACACUGCCGAGAAAAGCCUCUAGAUAGAAAAUAGGUGCCCGUACCGCAAACCGACACAGGUAGUCAAGAUGAGAAUUCUAAGGUGAGCGAGCGAACUCUCGUUAAGGAACUCGGCAAAAUGACCCCGUAACUUCGGGAGAAGGGGUGCUCUUUAGGGUUAACGCCCAGAAGAGCCGCAGUGAAUAGGCCCAAGCGACUGUUUAUCAAAAACACAGGUCUCUGCUAAACCGUAAGGUGAUGUAUAGGGGCUGACGCCUGCCCGGUGCUGGAAGGUUAAGAGGAGUGGUUAGCUUCUGCGAAGCUACGAAUCGAAGCCCCAGUAAACGGCGGCCGUAACUAUAACGGUCCUAAGGUAGCGAAAUUCCUUGUCGGGUAAGUUCCGACCCGCACGAAAGGCGUAACGAUUUGGGCACUGUCUCAACGAGAGACUCGGUGAAAUCAUAGUACCUGUGAAGAUGCAGGUUACCCGCGACAGGACGGAAAGACCCCGUGGAGCUUUACUGUAGCCUGAUAUUGAAAUUCGGCACAGCUUGUACAGGAUAGGUAGGAGCCUUUGAAACGUGAGCGCUAGCUUACGUGGAGGCGCUGGUGGGAUACUACCCUAGCUGUGUUGGCUUUCUAACCCGCACCACUUAUCGUGGUGGGAGACAGUGUCAGGCGGGCAGUUUGACUGGGGCGGUCGCCUCCUAAAAGGUAACGGAGGCGCUCAAAGGUUCCCUCAGAAUGGUUGGAAAUCAUUCAUAGAGUGUAAAGGCAUAAGGGAGCUUGACUGCGAGACCUACAAGUCGAGCAGGGUCGAAAGACGGACUUAGUGAUCCGGUGGUUCCGCAUGGAAGGGCCAUCGCUCAACGGAUAAAAGCUACCCCGGGGAUAACAGGCUUAUCUCCCCCAAGAGUUCACAUCGACGGGGAGGUUUGGCACCUCGAUGUCGGCUCAUCGCAUCCUGGGGCUGUAGUCGGUCCCAAGGGUUGGGCUGUUCGCCCAUUAAAGCGGUACGCGAGCUGGGUUCAGAACGUCGUGAGACAGUUCGGUCCCUAUCCGUCGUGGGCGUAGGAAAUUUGAGAGGAGCUGUCCUUAGUACGAGAGGACCGGGAUGGACAUACCUCUGGUGUACCAGUUGUCGUGCCAACGGCAUAGCUGGGUAGCUAUGUGUGGACGGGAUAAGUGCUGAAAGCAUCUAAGCAUGAAGCCCCCCUCAAGAUGAGAUUUCCCAACUUCGGUUAUAAGAUCCCUCAAAGAUGAUGAGGUUAAUAGGUUCGAGGUGGAAGCAUGGUGACAUGUGGAGCUGACGAAUACUAAUCGAUCGAAGACUUAAUCAA